AGAAGUUGAGUUUAAUAAGAAUAGGGAAGUGUCAUUUCUCAGGAACUCAAAGAGUAACUUCUU
Molecule: transfer RNA, 63 nt
Filed under: Eubranchipus grubii
Lineage: Eukaryota; Metazoa; Arthropoda; Branchiopoda; Anostraca; Chirocephalidae
Description: tRNA-Asp
Source: RNAcentral